Molecule: ribosomal RNA, 420 nt
Filed under: bacterium
Lineage: Bacteria
Description: partial 16S ribosomal RNA
Rfam family: Bacterial small subunit ribosomal RNA
Source: RNAcentral
UGGGGGAUAUUGCACAAUGGGCGAAAGCCUGAUGCAGCGACGCCGCGUGGGGGAUGAAGGCUUUCGGGUUGUAAACCUCUUUCGCUAUCGAACAAGGCCCGCUUAGGGUGGGUUGAGGGUAGGUGGAGAAGAAGCGCCGGCUAACUACGUGCCAGCAGCCGCGGUAAUUCGUAGGGCGCGAGCGUUGUCCGGAAUUAUUGGGCGUAAAGGGCUUGUAGGCGGCUUGUUGCGCCUGCUGUGAAAACGCGGGGCUUAACUUCGCGCGUGCAGUGGGUACGGGCAGGCUUGAGUGUGGUAGGGGUGACUGGAAUUCCAGGUGUAGCGGUGGAAUGCGCAGAUAUCUGGAGGAACACCGAUGGCGAAGGCAGGUCACUGGGCCAUUACUGACGCUGAGGAGCGAAAGCAUGGGUAGCGAACAGG